Patiria miniata (bat star) is the source of this 390-nucleotide long non-coding RNA. RefSeq lists it as uncharacterized. The transcript has 3 exons. NCBI's taxonomy places the organism in Eukaryota, Metazoa, Echinodermata, Asteroidea, Valvatida, Asterinidae. The record is from RefSeq and is a predicted model, not a curated record.
CGGACAGCACGUGUUAUCUGUAUGCUGGAGUUAACGUAAGGCACAACGACGUUUCCCCGAUUUUCUUCAUACAGGGUUGCCAAAUUUCUUUGUUGACGAACUUCAACUUCAUCAUUAAAAUGCUGACUUUGAAUGAUGUUAUUUGACCCGUAAAAAUUGGGAAUCAGCCAAAGCAGUCAUGUAUGGCGGUCGUGUGGAAAGGAUGCAACCGUGUGGGAUGGCCUUCACUACAAGCAGUCACUUCUCGAGACACCAAAUCCUGUCACACAAGGCCAAUGGAUGGUUGGUGCAUUGUCAUUGAGUUUGAAUGUGGUAGGAUUCUUAGGAAUCUAGUGCCAGAGAUGAAGCAGAAGCCACAACGAAGCCUGGGUUUCAUAAACACCACAAAAA